Molecule: ribosomal RNA, 292 nt
Filed under: uncultured bacterium
Lineage: Bacteria
Description: partial 16S ribosomal RNA
Rfam family: Bacterial small subunit ribosomal RNA
Source: RNAcentral
GUGCCAGCCGCCGCGGUAAUACGUAGGGGGCAAGCGUUGUCCGGAAUCAUUGGGCGUAAAGAGCGUGUAGGCGGCUUGGCAAGUCUGACGUGAAAUCCCGCGGCUCAACCGCGGUAGGUCGUUGGAAACUGCCUCGCUAGAGUCCGGAAGAGGAGAGCGGAAUUCCUGGUGUAGCGGUGGAAUGCGCAGAUAUCAGGAAGAACACCCGUGGCGAAGGCGGCUCUCUGGGACGGUACUGACGCUGAGACGCGAAAGCGUGGGGAGCGAACAGGAUUAGAUACCCCCGUAGUCC